CCCGCGGCCUAUCAGGUAGUUGGUGAGGUAACGGCUCACCAAGCCGACGACGGGUAGGGGGCGUGAGAGCGUGGCCCCCCACACGGGAACUGAGACACGGUCCCGACGCCUACGGGCGGCAGCAGUGAGGAAUCUUGCCCAAUGGGGGAAACCCUGAGGCAGCGACACCGCGUGCGGGAUGAAGGCCUUCGGGUCGUAAACCGCUUUUCUGGGGGACGAGUAAGGACGGUACUCCAGGAAUAAGUCCCGGCUAACUACGUGCCAGCAGCCGCGGUAAAACGUAGGGGGCGAGCGUUAUCCGGAAUCACUGGGCGUAAAGGGCGUCUAGGCGGCAGCCUAAGUCCCGUGUGAAAGCUCCCGGCUCAACUGGGAGAGGGCAUGGGAGACUGGGCAGCUAGAGACUCGGAGGGGGGUGUGGAAUUCCCGGUGGAGUGGUGGAAUGCGUUGAGAUCGGGAGGAACACCAGUAGCGAAGGCGGCACCCUGGCCGAGAUCUGACGCUGAAGCGCGAGAGCGUGGGGAGCGAACGGGAUUAGAUACCCCGGUAGUCCACGCCGUAAACGAUGACAACUAGGUGUUGGGUGUCCAAGGAUGCUCAGUACCGCAGCAAACGCGAUAA
RNAcentral lists this ribosomal RNA (618 nucleotides) under uncultured bacterium. RNAcentral describes it as "bacterial SSU rRNA". It matches the Rfam family "Bacterial small subunit ribosomal RNA", at positions 230 to 863 of the family's 1533-position model. The record is from RNAcentral.